This 655-nucleotide small RNA is filed under the name Vigna angularis var. angularis. RNAcentral describes it as "Non-protein coding transcript". The record is from RNAcentral. Lineage: Eukaryota; Viridiplantae; Streptophyta; Magnoliopsida; Fabales; Fabaceae.
CAUAUCCAUAAAAGUACUUUUUGACAACCUGCACUUCAAUCCUGUGGCAAAACAGUAAGAAACUCUCUGCAGUGCAUCUCCUGAAGGGCUUGCCAAAGCCCAGAUUCUGUUAAUCAGCAACUCUGUCUGGUGGUUGUCCCUGCACCCCACAGCUUCAGCACAGGCCAGCAGCAUAUGAACCAACUCUAACCCUUGCUCCACACCAAGAUUUUCAUACAUCUCCAACUCUGAAUCCUCCAUGGUGGCUGGAAGAUAUCCAAAGACAUCAUUCAUGGAGGAGUAUUCAUCAGCAUCAGCCUCAUCCUCAUCAUUAUUCAUCACCACAAAGUGGCCAAAACUUUGAUGCUUCUCUUGGUGCCCUUUAUCUGCUUUCUCAUACUGAUCCAUGUUGAUGAAGCUGUCAACAAAGUCAUCAACUUCUGAUGAAGCUAAACAAGGAGUGCUGGCAUCAGAAUAACAUAAUUCAGUAUCAUCAAACACUACUCCCUCUUGAUCUUGGCACUCUCCUCCUUGCUCUUGCUCCAUUCUUGCAGGACAAUACCUUCUGAUGGCAAAUUCAUGGUCAACACUUUCAUUCAGAUAAGAGGAUAAUAGCCACCUGUUUAUGUCUUCCAUUGUUACUUGAGGUGCUUGAAAUCUGGAAAAAAAGAAUGGG